GCGAGAUAAUACCAUCCCCUCGACUCGUCUUUACCCAACACACGAGGCUGAAAAGGGUCUGAAAGACGUGCAGAGGCAUAUCCUCACCUAACAACACUUUCUUCUAGAAAAAAUAUGACCCUACUAGCUGGCUCCACCCAUUUGGCAGAGCCGGGUCGGUGGCAACAUAAAGUUCCUAAGCACAGGCCUAAAGAAGGGGUGCAAAGGAAGAUGCAUACCUGCCUUAAACAAGUAUUCACUUACAGCCACACAUCCAGGCCUAGAAAAACAUGCCCUUUCGUGGGCCUCGGGGACUAACAUCUCCACGUAAUGGGGGACGCAAUACUUCUCCCUAAUUUCCUCCAACUUCUUCAUGGUCCCCUUCACCCAACGUAACUAUUGUCACCAAUUCUCUACCCGAAGUGGACUCCAUGUCAGAAGUUUGGAAAAUCACAGAAAAAAUGAUUCUUGCAAAAUAAAAACAAUACCUACAACAAUGACUAACAAACAACGAACUGCGAAACGUCGGCGUUUGAAAUCGAAGGACAACUUUGGACGCCGAAAACAACGAAAGGCAGAAAACACAAAGCAAACCGUGAAGAAGGGUUCAAAUGAAAAUCUUUGGCCUUUUAUAGGGAGCCAAGACAAACCCCAGCCUUUGGAUGAAGGCCCCAUGAAUCUCAGCCCUCCAAAUCUGGUUUAAAUCCGAAGCAUAGAAUUCAAAUCGUUUUGAAAUCUACGCCUCAGAUUCGAACGUGCCUCUCAUGCACCUCUUCAAACGCGUCUCCUUCUAGAAAGUCCACCUAUAACCAUCAUUGUGCAUUCAAUGCUGCAACUGUAUGUGCCUUGAAAGUCGAAACGGUUCGACUGCCUUUUCUUGGUAACAUGCGCAAAACAUCAAAUCAUUGGCACAAACGUCGAAAACAGCCAUAUCUUCACAAGCUUCGACUAUUUCAAUCAACGCACCGCCUCAACUUCCACAAUUCAACCAUCACAAGCCUCGUAGGUUCGGUUUUUCAACCACCUCGACUUCUUCAUGACAAUUCAGCCAUCACAAGCUUCGCAACUUCGAUUUCUCAACCACAUCGGCUUCUUCAUCACAAUUCAGCCAUCACAAGCCUCGCAGAUUCGGUUUCUCAAUCACCUCGGCUUUUUCAUCACAAUUCAACCAUCACAAGCCUCGCAGGUUCGAUUUCUCAACCACCUCAACUUCUUCAUCACAAUUCAGCCUUCACAAGCCUCGCAAGUUCGGUUUCUCAACCACAUCAGCUUCUUUAUUACAAUUCAACUUUCACAAGCCUCGCAGAUUUGGUUUAUUCAACCACCUCGGCUUCUUCAUCAUUCAUCCACAACAGCACAUUUCUAACUCCAACCAUGAUAUAAAUAUCUAUACUUGGACUUGGGGGACUAUUAUUUGGGGUUCAAAAAUUCUUUCAAUUUUUACCCAACUCACUGGCUUUACUUCAUUAAAGUCCACGCAUUUUAUAAAUGACUAUACUUGGACUUGGGGGACUAUUAUUACAUACACACUUGGCCAACCCACUGGGGCUUAUGGGCCACUCAUGCCGAAUCACGUGGCACUCCAGUCGAGGUGGUAUGUAUGGCCGAAGCCCUUGUGUAUUCGAGGCCCAUCUUACCCGAUGUUAUUCUAUCCGAAGUCCUAAGGCUGUCAGUAGCACUAUUCCCCAGAGAUCCGGUCUUACACAAGGAUCCUCUCUGAGUGAUUGAUGGGACACCCAUUAUAGAGCUCAAGUGCCUUGUCUUGUCAACAUAGUGGCAGAGCCGCCAAUUAAUUAAUGUGUAGUAGGCUAGGAAGUCAAAUGUGACACCUAUAAUUGGACAGGUAAACUUACGAGAUG
This 1838-nucleotide long non-coding RNA is filed under the name Olea europaea subsp. europaea. Lineage: Eukaryota; Viridiplantae; Streptophyta; Magnoliopsida; Lamiales; Oleaceae. The record is from RNAcentral.